This 468-nucleotide ribosomal RNA is filed under the name uncultured bacterium. RNAcentral's name for it is "partial 16S ribosomal RNA". It matches the Rfam family "Bacterial small subunit ribosomal RNA", at positions 28 to 523 of the family's 1533-position model. The record is from RNAcentral.
GAUGAACGCUGGCGGCGUGCCUAACACAUGCAAGUCGAGCGAUCUUCUUCGGAAGAGAGCGGCGGACGGGUGAGUAACGCGUGGGUAACCUGCCCUGUACACACGGAUAACAUACCGAAAGGUAUGCUAAUACGAGAUAAUAUGCCUUUAUCGCAUGGUAGAAGUAUCAAAGCUCCGGCGGUACAGGAUGGACCCGCGUCUGAUUAGCUAGUUGGUAAGGUAAUGGCUUACCAAGGCGACGAUCAGUAGCCGACCUGAGAGGGUGAUCGGCCACAUUGGAACUGAGACACGGUCCAAACUCCUACGGGAGGCAGCAGUGGGGAAUAUUGCACAAUGGGCGAAAGACUGAUGCAGCAACGCCGCGUGAGCGAUGAAGGCCUUCGGGUCGUAAAGCUCUGUCCUCAAGGAAGACAAUGACGGUACUUGAGGAGGAAGCCCCGGCUAACUACGUGCCAGCAGCCGCCGUAA